AGUGAACGCUGGCGGUAGGCCUAACACAUGCAAGUCGAACGGCAGCACAGUAAGAGCUUGCUCUUACGGGUGGCGAGUGGCGGACGGGUGAGGAAUACAUCGGAAUCUACUUUUUCGUGGGGGAUAACGUAGGGAAACUUACGCUAAUACCGCAUACGACCUACGGGUGAAAGCAGGGGAUCUUCGGACCUUGCGCGAUUGAAUGAGCCGAUGUCGGAUUAGCUAGUUGGCGGGGUAAAGGCCCACCAAGGCGACGAUCCGUAGCUGGUCUGAGAGGAUGAUCAGCCACACUGGAACUGAGACACGGUCCAGACUCCUACGGGAGGCAGCAGUGGGAAUAUUGGACAAUGGGCGCAAGCCUGAUCCAGCCAUACCGCGUGGGUGAAGAAGGCCUUCGGGUUGUAAAGCCCUCUUGUUGGGAAAGAAAAGCAGCAGGUUAAUACCCCGCUGUUCUGACGGUACCCAAAGAAUAAGCACCGGCUAACUUCGUG
Molecule: ribosomal RNA, 491 nt
Filed under: uncultured bacterium
Lineage: Bacteria
Description: partial 16S ribosomal RNA
Rfam family: Bacterial small subunit ribosomal RNA
Source: RNAcentral